GGGGCUAUAGCUCAGAGGCAGAGCACUUGCCUAUCAUGCAAGAGGCACUGGGUUCGAUCCUUAGCACCA
Molecule: non-coding RNA, 69 nt
Organism: Ictidomys tridecemlineatus (thirteen-lined ground squirrel)
Lineage: Eukaryota; Metazoa; Chordata; Mammalia; Rodentia; Sciuridae
Source: Rfam